CACCUCCGCAGCCCACCGCCACCACCCCUUCGCCCUCCCGGGCGGCCGCACCGAAGAGCUGCAACCGUCGCCUCGCACAGGCUGCCGGCAUUGUCCUCCCGGUCCGCCGCCAAGCCUGCCGCUGCCGCCGCGGACUGCUGCGGGGCCCCGGACCCGCGCCCCAGGGACGCGCCGCCGCCUUCAGGGUCCCGGCCCCCGGCUCCUGGUCCCUGGCCCCCCGUUUGGUGAUUUCUGAGCCCUGCGCUCCCUAGCCGCUCUCCUAGGUUUUUCCUGCAAGGCUGAGGAAGAGGAGAAGUCGCCUAGCCGCCAAACCCAGGCUUCCUCCGGCGCUCAGCCCCGACGGGGCCGCGGCAGGCGCGGCGAGAGCGCCGACGGAGCCAUGAGAGAGUACAAAGUGGUGGUGCUGGGCUCGGGCGGCGUGGGCAAGUCCGCGCUCACCGUGCAGUUCGUGACGGGCUCCUUCAUCGAGAAGUACGACCCCACCAUCGAGGACUUCUACCGCAAGGAGAUUGAAGUGGACUCGUCGCCGUCGGUGCUGGAGAUCCUGGACACGGCGGGCACCGAGCAGUUCGCGUCCAUGCGGGACCUGUACAUCAAGAACGGCCAGGGCUUCAUCCUCGUCUAUAGCCUCGUCAACCAGCAGAGCUUCCAGGACAUCAAGCCCAUGCGGGACCAGAUCAUCCGCGUGAAGCGGUACGAGCGUGUACCCAUGAUCCUGGUGGGUAACAAGGUGGACCUGGAGGGCGAGCGAGAGGUCUCGUACGGCGAGGGCAAGGCCCUGGCCGAGGAGUGGAGCUGCCCCUUCAUGGAGACGUCGGCCAAAAACAAAGCCUCGGUGGACGAGCUGUUCGCAGAGAUCGUGCGGCAGAUGAACUACGCGGCGCAGCCCAACGGCGACGAGGGCUGCUGCUCGGCCUGCGUGAUCCUCUGAGGCGCCCGCGGCUGCCGCGCGCUGGCCGCGCUCCGCGCACAAAAGCCAAACGCACCCGACUCUCUAAAUGUGAUUUCUCUUCUUGCUUUGAGAUUGGAGACGACUUUGCAUUGGCCGGGGUGUCCCGGGAGCCCGGCUGGCCUGUGCGGCCGGCGUCCCCUGCCUCCGCCCCGUGUCCGAAGGGGUGUCCCGUCCUCACCAUCCGACACCCGGUGGAAAUGUGGCUCUUGGAAGCAUGAGUAGCUGGAAAUUAAGAUGGGGUUCCUUUUCUGCCAGCUUGGAAGGGCAACCCUGUGACUGAUUGUGAUUUUAAGGAUGUCUAUGCAAAGUUGGAUUCUUGUUACAGUGUAUCCAAUCUGAAGUAUGCACAUCUGAACUGGGACUGUAAACACUGAUGCCAAUACAGUGUGGGGUGCCAGAAAGUGUCUGCUGAUAUUUGUGGAAAAAAAAAAUCUAUUUUGUUUACCUACUGUAUCAAAGGGGAGUCUGGGGGAGAACGGUAGUAUUUUUUUUUUUUUAAUCAGCUGUGAAAAAAAAAUGUUACAGAUCUGCACAUUUUUGUGUGUACUAUUGUGUGCCUGUGUGUGUGUGUGGUUUUUCUGGGUUUUUUUUCUUUUUUUUUUUUUUGAGUUUAGCUUUUUGUUGUUUUUGGUUGGCAGUGACAGGUUUUGAUGACUAGCUCUUUAAAAUACAGUACAAAGACUUCAAAAAUGUGAUUCAGGGCCCCCAGCACCCCUGUGUCUGCAGAGUGCCUUCAAAACUCAGCUGUUCAGCCGGUGCCAACCUGUGAACUUCCCACCAUAUCCCAGAAUCUGCUAUUCCCCAAACCACUUCCUAGUUUCCUUUCUGUAAUCUUCCUGAAGGAGCCAGGACAAUAGGGCCUGUUGUUUGGUGAAUUUCUUGAUUAUUUCCAGCCUUUAAAAUGUAGUUUCCAUGUCUUGCAAUGGGCUUCCCCCUCCCUUCUUUCUUUCUUUUUUAUUUUGCUUCAUUUUGUUCAAAUGUUCAGGUAUUUAGCUCCCCUUUUUAUAUUAUUUUUUUUUAAAUUUUUGGUUAUCUGUUCUAGGGUGUUCCUCCAGAAGCAAAGAGCAAAAUUUUAUUGUUGUGAUGUACCAAGAGAAUUCUAACUAACUGUAAUUUUUAAUUCCAGACACGUGUUUAAUCAUUGUCUCUUCAUUUUAAGACUUUUAAUACAAAUGUCAUUUUUAAAGAAACAAACCUAAAACUAUCGUUUGUGUUUCUGUGUUUCAUAUUCAGUGAUUUAAUACAAUAUCAUGGCUGAGGUGGAUGGGGGCAGGUGCUUGAUGCCCGCAACAGAAAAACCUCAGUGACAAGUUGGGUGACAUUACUUCCAACUCCUUAAAUAUGGAAAAAAAAUCAUAAAGGUCUAGGAAGCCCUGGGGGUAUGGCCACUAUCACUUAACUACAAGUUACGAAGGAUAUUGAAUCUGUUCUGCUGACAGGGAGUAGUUUACCUCACUGUGGGUAGAGAAGGGUAGAAACCAACUGCUAAUACUGCCUUAGAUUUGGUGAAGUUGCCAAUCUCCUGACCAGGCAGGGAAGAGCUUUUAACUUUUCUUUUUCUUUCUUUUUUUUCCCCCCCAGUGUUUUGUUCUGUUUAAUUACAUCACAUAUCAAGUCAAAAACAUGUUUGAAGAUGAUUUUCAGUCCUGAAGUCAUACCCAGUAGUGUUUUCUGCAGUACAUUUGUAUGGGUUGCAGAAUCUUAAUACUAGAGGUUUUGAUUUGGAAAUAGAUAUUAGAAAGAAAAAACGAAGAUGAACCCCUAACUCCCAUUAAGCUGCAAUUUGUGGACCAUUUUGACCUCAUGAAAUUUUCCUUCCAACAGUAGGAGGCAGUGUGAGCUGUUGCUGCUUAUUUUAUUUCAGUUAAGGGCCUCUUUACUAGUAUAAUCUCUGUAGAAUAAAAGAAAGUAUAUGACUGUACAUCAAGAGUGUACGUGAUACCCUCAGCUGUGUGAAGUGUAGGUGAAGUCUUCUGUUGGGGAAGCCAAAAGAAGUUACAGGCCACAGGCAUCUUUAAAGCUAUUAACAUCUUGCCUUAAAAUGGGUCCUUAGCCCAGGUGACCUGCCCCUCUUCCAGCAUGGAGGAGGAAUAGAGAAUUGGCCUGUGAUGGUCCUAUAGCCAUUUUUUUUCAUUCUUGAGCUCACAUAAGUUUAGAAUCACACAGUUGAAAGGCAGUAUGUGUAUGAUAAAUACAGAAAUUAAUAGAAAUAAGUUUUUGUCUUUGCAAAUAUUAAGUCUUGCAUUUGAGUAAAUUUAGUUUUUCAGUAUAUAUAAAGUGUUGAAAAUUCUGAAGACUUAUACCAAGUACUAUGUGAAGGAUUUUUUUAAAAAGCAUUUGGUGACUGUUUCUUACGGCUUUGUUU
This is an RNA transcript of Enhydra lutris kenyoni (northern sea otter), 3317 nucleotides long. It is a transcript of the gene named RAP2B, member of RAS oncogene family, with no coding region annotated. The transcript is spliced from 2 exons. The record is from RefSeq and is a predicted model, not a curated record. Lineage: Eukaryota; Metazoa; Chordata; Mammalia; Carnivora; Mustelidae.